UGGAGUCUGCUGGAGAUUCUUUCUGCCCCUGCCCCCAUUCGCAUGCGUUCUCUCUCUCUCUCAAAUAAAUAAAUCUUAAAAAAAAAGAAAGAAAGAAAACUGGGACUUAUCUGAGAUUACCAAAUAUACGGUAAGAGCUGUUGAUAAAUAUUUAUCUAAUAAAUGUUUGUAUGUGAAACAGAAUUUGGUCUAAGACUUGGUUUCAUUAUAGUUGGUAGUAAGACAAUAUACAAGGGUCAAUUUACUACAGGUGUUUACAGGUGCUGAGAAUCCCUUACAAGGACAAAUAUUUAUAUUAGUGACCAAAUGGGGAAAUGCGCUCCAUAUCAGGUAUAAGGUCUUAGUUUCCUGGGAUCUGAGUGGUGGGCUUCUCUUCAUCUGCUUAUUUUAUUUUAUUAUUUUAUUUUUAAAGAUUGUAUUUAUUUAUGUGACAGAGAGACAGCCAGCGAGAGAGGGAACACAGCAAGGGAGUGGGAGAGGAAGAAGCAGGCUCCCAGCAGAGGAGCCUGAUGUGGGGCUCGAUCCCAGAACGCCGGGAUCACGCCCUGAGCCGAAGGCAGACGCUUAAGGACUGCGCCACCCAGGCGCCCCGCAUCUGCUCAUUUUAAAUGAGGCUCUUGGUUCACUGACAUGUUUUGGGGAUUCAGAAGAGAAUUUCUGUGUGAUUUCAUGCCUUAGGCAUGCCAACCACAUGGGCGUGAUGGAGGCCAUGGAAAUGGAAGAUUCUGUUCGGCUUGGGAUGAGGAAGCCAAAGAAACCCGACGUCUUCAAGAGCGAAGUGGUUGACGGAGAAAAACCAACCAAAGCAAAGCAAAGGAAGAGAGUGAAGGAAAGCAGACUAAAACCACGCAUCUCCGAGACACUUAGCCACUGUGGAAUGGAGUUCCAGACAGCCGAAAGGACUUCUGUGGCUUUUGAGCCUUUGGAAACAUUCCUUCCAAAUCCUGCUGGAGGAGCAGGGGUUGCUAAAACCACAGAUGGAAACUCGACACAGGGAGAGGCCGGGACUCCAGAAAAACUACUUUGGCCUCCGGUGAUGUGUUACCAUCAUGUGGCCCCACCACUCGACUUUACUGGUGCCAAAGUAAGAAGUCCGGUGAGUGGUCCAGGGUCACGGAGGGAGGUGGAGGCAGAUCUGCCUUCCCCGUCGGGGCUCCUUCCUUGACAAGAAACGAGUUGAGGUGCUGGGCUUGUUGAUUGAAAGCUCAGUGGCCUCUCAAUUUAGUGAUCUUUUUCCUGUACCAAAGCUAGUCUUUUUUCCUGAUACAUGAAAACCUCAAGGCUCCUUCUCUCCUUUCCGCCUCUUUCAGAGUCCCCCCCCCCCAUAGAUUCCAUCCUCCUAAAUUCUUUGGGUCAUAUACUAUGCUGUCCUGUGACCAUGCCUCCUGCUAGUGUGUCCCAGCUUCUAGCAUUGGCAAAGAUUUUCUAGAAAGAUUGUGAAGAUGCAGAUCCCCUGGUCUGAGCAUCAGCCUUCAGACGUUCUGGAUCAGGAAUCUGAAGUUUUAAUAGGAGUCCUCUGUGAUUCUGAUGCAGGGGAGCCAGAAAUCUCACCUUAACAAUCUCUCCCUUACAAUCACCCACCUCCACUGGGGGGCAGUUUUCUGCUUGUGUAAUCGAGGUCUUUGGAAUUCCCACCCCAUCAAAUACUAGCUCACCUGAGCUUGGUCACUGAGCAUUUGUUAAAGCUGAUUUCACACCUGUCAAAUCUGAAUACCAGUUCCUAUAUUCUAAGGGGGUCAUGGAAGAUUAAAAACACAAUGUUCAGGGGCGCCUGGGUGGCACAGCGGUUAAGCGUCUGCCUUCUGCUUAGGGCGUGAUCCCGGCGUUAUGGGAUCGAGCCCCACAUCGGGCUCUUCCGCUGUGAGCCUGCUUCUUCCUCUCCCACUCCCCCUGCUUGUGUUCCCUCUCUCGCUGGCUGUCUCUAUCUCUGUCGAAUAAAUAAAUAAAAUCUUUAAAAAAAAAAAACAAUGUUCAGAGUAGUGAAGAGUAGUUCUGACCAUUGGUAGUUACAGAGAAUAGGGCAUAAAAUUUCCUUCUUUGGCGUAGGCAUGGUCUUAAAAAGUGGUCUGGGGAAGACCACAAAUCUCUCGAGGUUUAAAGAAAUUAAUGGCAAGAUAUUAAGCAAGAGGCUACGUAGAGAAAAGGGUAGGAUUUUGACUGAGAGGUUUGCACAGCCCCGUAGAUCCAGGGGGGUGAGCCACAAGUCUGACCCUAGCUAGGUGACCUUGGGCAAGUCACAUGGUCUGUCCGAAGCUCCACUACCCACCUGUAGGAUAGGGGAUGAUAACGGCCGUCCUCACCUGUCCUGCCAGACUGUGGUGCGGAUCAGAUGGAAUAUAUCUAAGCAUUUUGUGGAUUAUCAGCUUCUUCGGAAAUACACGUAAGCUGUUUCCACACCAAAAAUGCAGGUGCCUAAUCCACUGGAUAGUUCUCUCAGGAUAGAAUAAAGAGACCAAUUAAAAAGCAGAUUUUCAGGAAAAACACUGACCAAAAAUAGAGCCGGAGUUGGAUCGGUGCCUCAUGUGGUCAAGAAAAGUAUUCGAUUACUGUCCCUUUAUUUGCCCAUUUCUGGGAGUUGGGGUGUUGCUGUAUCAUGUGAGUAAGGCUUUGAAAUUCCUGUUCUAAUCUUUAGUAGCAACGACACAACCUAUAAUCUCUUCUGUUUUUCCUUU
This 2672-nucleotide long non-coding RNA is filed under the name Ursus thibetanus thibetanus. RNAcentral describes it as "lncRNA (ENSUTTG00000015505.1)". The record is from RNAcentral. Lineage: Eukaryota; Metazoa; Chordata; Mammalia; Carnivora; Ursidae.